Molecule: ribosomal RNA, 450 nt
Filed under: Chabertia ovina (large-mouth bowel worm)
Lineage: Eukaryota; Metazoa; Nematoda; Chromadorea; Rhabditida; Strongylidae
Description: partial large subunit ribosomal RNA
Source: RNAcentral
GAGCCUGUAUUGGGUUCCAGUAUGAAUGAAGUUAUUGGUUAAUUUAUUUUUUAGUUUUUUUAUUGAAUUUUUUUUUCAAUGAUAAAAAGUUAUUGUUGUAACAAAACAAAGAUAAGUCUUCGGAAAUUUUAUUUUUAGAAUAACAAUGGUUGUUUUAAAAAGUUUUCUAGGGCAGAAUUUUAUAUAAUAAUUUAAAUCUAUUAAUAAUUUUUAAAAUUACUCCGGAGUUAACAGAAAAUCAUACCUAAUCUAGUUCUUAUAGUAAGGUAAGUUUUACAUCGAUGUUGUAUUUAAGUUUAUUAAAAAAGGAGAAAUUUUAAUUUUUAAGACUGUUCUUCUUUUAAUUAACUUAACGUGAUAUUAGUUUAAUUCAUUGUGAGAUAGAAUUGUUUAUCUUGUCUGUUACUGGGUUACAGUUUUAACAGUACGAAAGGAAAAUCAAAAAAAGUU